CAGGCUAACCCCUAAAAGCUGUGCUGUGGGGAAUCCAUUUUCCUGACCAGCAAAGAAACAAUCUGCUGCAGAAGGGGCUCCUUUAAUAGUCUGGUGAAGUGUCCUUCUAAUGAACUUUGCCAUUACUGAAGCUGUAAUGUUUGAUGCAAUCUGACAAUCUGGAGCAGAGUCUGUCCAGCCAAGGAUAUAGGAGAGGUAAUAAAAUGAGGACUUCUCCUUGGUUUUGCAGAAUGUUCAUGCUUAUUCUGAGCGCACUCCCCAACUGCAUGUUUAUGAGAGUGCAUAACCAUCCUUUCUUUAAGAAAGAAGAUCAAUAACGACUAGGACUGGACUAACCUCUUGCUACAGUAACACAGUUCUGAAUUGAGCCUUCAUCUGUGGCUGAUUCUGAAUCAACAUUAAUAAAACACUCCUUUGCAGGACUAAAGUUGUGCAGAUUUCAAAAUGUCAAAGAAGCUAGUGUAAAAUUUCACAAAUAUUAGACAGAUAGACAGAUAGAUAGAUAGACACAGUGAAUUCAUUUGGGUCGAAUUUUAGAAGUAACUAUGGAAACUAACUUUUCUCUGAAGAUAUUAAAAAUCUGCUUGGUCAUGAUCCUGUGCCACCUACUCUGGAUGAACCUGCUUUAGCAGGGGAGUUGAAAUAGAUAAUCACCAGACAUACCUUGCAAUCCCAACCAUGAUUCUGUGACAUUAAAAGACUAUUUGAGGGGAGUAAUUUUCAGAUAACAAGUACAACUGAGAAAUUUUAAAUGAGAUGGCAAUUUGUGGUUUUCUUAAUUGCAACUGACAUUGGUCCCACUCCUAUACAUAUAUUUGCUUAUCUUCUAAUCAGGACACUGAUUAUCUCUCCAUGGGUUAUUUAGAAUGCAGGAAAAGGCACAAGCAGGAGAAAGGGUUAAUCACAGUGUGAGAGCACUGUUACAGAGGUUCUCAAAAAGAAUGAAGACUAAAAAAAUAGACACAAAUAUAUUCUAUAUUUAAUGAUCCACAGAGUUGCACUAGCAUUGCAGGUAGUGCAUUGAGCCAUGAUAUUUGCUGUUCAGAUACAUCACCUUUAAAACUUUUCUUUGUGAGAAGCUUGUUGCUGGCCUCUUUAUCUGUAUUGUAUUUCCAUUUAGUUCAACUGCCAUAGUCUAUUAGGGAACAAUGUUUUAAAAAUGAUGGUAAUUAAAAAAAAGCUGAUUGACAGAGAAUCUGGAAAUCUUCCAUUUCUUCUGUUCCUUAGACAUUUCAGUACAAUCGUUCCAGUCCACAGCAACUAACACAGGAAAAAGGAAUAAACACAUAUGUCGACUAGAUGUUAUUAGAUAGAACCUGAAAACUGAACCUGUCAAAGCAUUUGGCACAAUAAGAGUACGAGGAAUGAGAGAAUCACCGGAAAUGCAAAUGGAAUUGUCAUGUUUGUUUGCACUUCUUGAAACUGGUAUUAGGGCUUAAAAUUUCAGUGGUUUGUUUUGGAGAUUUUUUCAUAUUUCCUUCUAGAGGUUUACUUAGGGUCCUUUCUCCUAAUUUAAUGCAGUAUUUUAUGUUCUUGCAAAUGUUUUAUCACUAUAAUAUAAUAGAUUCAAUGCCAUUACCAGGCAGCGAAGUUCACUUUUUAGUUGCAUCCAACAUUCUCUCUGUAAUAGCUCUCUGGAAAGUCACCUGAAAUUUCCACCUUAACAAGCUAUGUCAAUGCCAUUGUACUUGAUUUUUGCUCAGCUAAAUAGUGCCUGAAUUGUAUAAACUGUUUAAUACAGCUGGCACUCAGCAAGUAUUUAUCUGCAAUUCUAGAUUUGUAGAUUUAGCAUUCUUUCUCAUGAAAUGUGAUUUUUGUUUUGGAAUUUAGCAUGACAGCCUGUCCAGGAUCAAACUUUAUCUGAGAAGAGGACAGCUGCUGUUUGAGAAGUACACUUGUGGUUGCUUUUUAACAUCAACAAUUUGCACUUCAAAGUGGCACAGAAAAGAAGUCAUUGCCUAGAGGGACAGCUGAAAGAUAAAGUGAUAGAUACAUGGAAAAUCGUUGCUCCCAAUCUGCUUUUUUGAGGGGGGAAAAUAUUUAUAUUGAAGAAGAAAUAUAAAAUUGGUCAAUACUGGCCAUUUUACAAUGGACUUUUAAUAAAAUCAUAGAAUGGGGUGGGUUGGAAAGGACCUUAAAAAUCAUCUAGUUCCAACCCUCCUGCCAUGGACAUUUUCCACUGGACAGGAGGAUCCAAAGGGAAAAUUAGAAGAGCAAUCCUUACUGGUACAAUGUCUGAGAAGGAUGGAUGUCCAGGUAUGUAGGACUCAAACAUUUACAUGCCUCAUGAUCAUUUUUACCGGGAAAUGAAAAGGCAUCAGGGGCAGAAUCACAGAGUAAGUUUUUCUAGAAAAAAAAAUUUAAAUAAGAGAUGAGCAUAUGUAUUCUGGACUAGCUGCUGUAUUUCAAUAGUAUUGAAAUACAGAAGUGAAAGAUGCAUGAAAACUUACAGUAUUUUGGUUUUUGAGGUAACAAACAUAGCAGUUAUGAGAUCUGUAACCAAAGAAAAUACCACAGACCAGAUUUCUGACAAUAGUUAAUAAAGACACUCCAGUAGCUUGAAUGCCAGACUACCAUUUAAUCUAGGUUUAUCAGUCCUACUGCAAAUUCUACUAAAAUUACACUCUAGACACAUAAAAAUCUAAAGAAAUCUGUACUAUGACCUUUUGUUUUGCAGGUAAUGCAAAAAUAACCCACCCAAAACCCCUAGGAACUGGUACUAUGAAAGUAUCUCUGCACUUCUAGUAUUUCAGCAGUACAUUAAAGUUCUAUUGUUUUGUUUUGUUUCUAAAGACUUCUGACUGUUUCUGGAUGCUUAUUGCAUUGCAUAGGAAAUAAAAGCUUAUACAGCCAGAGAAGCAUAUUUUCCUAUGGGAUCUUGUCCAAAAGACUGCUUUUUCCUAAAAGUUCUGCUGAAAAUUUUCUUUCUAUUUCAUGUUGCAGAUAGUUUCCUUGAAUAGUCAGCUAGCUGUAGGUAAUAGUCAGUUAUAGGUCAAUCCUCCAGAGCUUUUUCUAAAGAUGAGAUUUUGUUGACUUUAAAGAAAGAGAUAGUAUCAUUAGUGGGCCUGCUGUGGACCCACUACUCCAAAAACAGGCACUGGAAAUAAUUUUCUGUCUCUUUUGUAUAAUUUUUGGAAAUUGUUGUAAAAUUUUAAAACAAAUUACAUAGAAUCAUAGAACAAUUAAAGUGAGAAAAGACAUUUAACAUCAUUGAGUACAACUGAACUGUAUUUUGCUGGAAUCAAAAGACCCAAAUUCAAAUCCCUGUUUUCAAAUACAAAUUAAAAAAAGAGGCAAGGAAAAUUCUGGCUUUAUUGUGUGAUAUCACAGGAUAAUUUAGCAUCCUGAAAGAGUAAUGAAGGUAGAAAUGGAAAGUUAACCAAAACAAAACUAUUAAUAAUAACUUCUAAAACCUCUGUAUGGCAACAGUAUUUCCUUUCAGUUAUGCAUUCCAGGUGUGUUACUAAAAACAGAGCAAGAGAAUUUAAGAAGGACUAAUGCUAUGUAAUCACUUAUUAAUUUGACACAAGGAUAUUCUUCUUACAGGUUUGAAACCUAGCUAAAUUCAACACAAUUAUGCCCCUUUUAUGCUCCCUGACUGAUCAACUGCCUUCAAUGCUGUUAACCAAGAUCCUUCUGAAAACUUGCUUGAUUUUUGUUUCUUGACUCUCCUUUCCUGGUCACUCUUCACCUGUGUAAAAAAGUUAGUCUUUCAAAGAGCAGGAAGUGGUCUUUUUCCUUCCAUCCUCCAUUUCCAAUUCCUUACUUUUGUUCUUACAAGGCCUUUUUCUACAGAAAAUGUGAUGCACAAGAACAAUUUACAAUCAAAUUAGCCUUUCACUGCUCAUUGUUUCAGUACAACUUUCUUACCUGACAAAUGAAAGUCACUCCCAUUACAUCAUCUCUUGGUAACAGUCCCAGCAGGGGCUCUAAAGAACUGCUAAUACAGUGCCAUGACAGGGCUCACUUUUAAGUGCCAUUUUUUGACUUUGAUAUCACUCUGGCUCUUCAGAGCCUAAUUUUGUUUGCACUUGUUUAGGUGUAGUUUUUUGCAAAUUAUAGAGCUAAAGAUCUUGUCUAGAUACAUCCUGCUUUUCAGUUAAAACAACAUUUUCUCCUUGUUUUGACAUCCACUGUUAAGUCUUGACCCACUUAUUCAUCCAUUUACUUUCUCCUGGCUUUUGCCCUCCCUUUUAAAAUUUUUCCAUCAGCUACUUGUACUUCUUCAUCUCUUUACAAUGAAGCAUAAUCCACUUUCCUUCAUUUUCGAGGACCUUAACAACCUUGAAACAGCCAGCUACCAUAUCUUAUUUAUGAUAAAAUGUCACCUCAUAUCUCAAGUGGAUGUGCCACUAUUUGUUAUAUUUUCAAAAAAGCUUCAUGCUACCUCUCAGACAUGGGAGGAGUUUCUCAGAAAUAUUUUCAGAGCAGCUGUUACCAUAUUUCAUCUCUCCCCUUAAAAUUCUACAUCAUGAUGCUCAUGAAAAAUGUUGGUAUCCAUUUGCUGAUGUACCCAUUCCUACUGCAUAUUGAUUUAGACAAUAUUGUCUCAGAGAUUUUUUAUUUAUCUACCUCUUAUGACUGCAUAUGCAUAAAAAACAAGUUAAUCAUGGCAGGAAUUGUAUUUUAUCCCCGUGUUUGAAAUGUUUUGCAACUUGGAUUAUGGUUGCAUGAAAGCAAAAUGCAGCUGUGCUUUUAGUAUGACAUGAGAGAGUAUUACUCUUUCAGUAGGUUGCAUUAGAUCUUUGGUAUUUCUGGCUGUGUAAAAGUAGAAUUUGUAUGAAUUUAGAAAGAGCUGAAUCUCAGCUUUGCUCAGAUAUGUUUUCACAGUCAUUGCUAGUGAAUUUUUUAGUCAUAAAAAAUAGCUGUAGACAAACAGUUUCAUUGUCUUAAUACUGAAAAUAUUUGUUACUUCCAGAUUUUUAUUCAUUUAGAAAAAAACAAUUAUUCCUACUUCAUAAGUUAAUUGGGGUCAUGAUAGUAAAAAGAUAUAACAGAGGUAAUAAGAGUGUGACAAAUAUAAGUAGCUUACAACUGCCUUAAAAGCUAUAGAGAACGAUAUAUUCAAGACACUGAUGAAACACUGAUUUGUGUAAUGUGUUUAUAAUAUUGUUAUUGUAUCCUUCAUUAUUUAAAAAUACAGUCUGGCAUCACUUGA
Molecule: long non-coding RNA, 5158 nt
Organism: Corvus hawaiiensis (hawaiian crow)
Lineage: Eukaryota; Metazoa; Chordata; Aves; Passeriformes; Corvidae
Exons: 2
Source: RefSeq, a predicted model, not a curated record